GUGCUCGCUUUGGUGGCACAUAAACUAAAAUUGGAAUAAUACAGAGAAGAUUAGCAUGGCCCCUGUGCAAGGAUGACACACAUACUUGUGAAGCGUUCCAUAUUAAA
Molecule: small nuclear RNA, 107 nt
Organism: Carlito syrichta (Philippine tarsier)
Lineage: Eukaryota; Metazoa; Chordata; Mammalia; Primates; Tarsiidae
Source: Ensembl